GACGAACGCUGGCGGCGUGCUUAACACAUGCAAGUCGAACGGAGUUCCUUGGAUAGAGGCUUCGGCCAAUUGAAAUGGAACUUAGUGGCGGACUGGUGAGUAACGCGUGAGGAACCUGCCUUUCAGAGGGGGACAACAGUUGGAAACGACUGCUAAUACCGCAUGAUGUAUCGAGAGGACAUCCUUUGAUACCAAAGCUUAAUGUGCUGAAAGAUGGCCUCGCGUCUGAUUAGCUAGUUGGUGAGGUAACGGCCCACCAAGGCGACGAUCGGUAGCCGGUCUGAGAGGAUGAACGGCCACAUUGGGACUGAGAUACGGCCCAGACUCCUACGGGAGGCAGCAGUAGGGAAUAUUGGGCAAUGGGGGAAACCCUGACCCAGCAACGCCGCGUGAAGGAAGAAGGCCCUCGGUUGUAAACUUCUUUAGCAGGACGAAGAACGUGACGGUACCUGCAGAAAAAGACAGCGGCUAACUACGUG
RNAcentral lists this ribosomal RNA (479 nucleotides) under uncultured bacterium. RNAcentral's name for it is "bacterial SSU rRNA". It matches the Rfam family "Bacterial small subunit ribosomal RNA", at positions 28 to 507 of the family's 1533-position model. The record is from RNAcentral.